CUGAGGAAGCCGAGAACUCGCCACUAGUACGUCCUUACUGCGCGGGAUUAUUAAGCAUUGCGGAAGGUUGGGGUCCUGCAGAUGAAAGCAAUGAAACGAGAAUGACCCCUGUGUAGGGGACCCUCUAGGGGGAAACUGGAAGCAAGACUUCUGCCAUCAACCAUCACCAGUCUCUGUGACCACGGAACUCCCUCCUCUCACCCAUUUACCCUGCCCGAAAUGCCAUUGUUCCACGGAGGCCCUGGAAGCAUUAGGGGCCACGGGUGUGAAGCCAGGAGGGACGCCGCUGCCCCUGGAGGAAGCAGGGUGACAUCCUGUCUACUUGAAAAGAAAACUGAAAGUCCUGUCCUUCACGAGAAACUAUUGUGUUUUCCUAACCCACAGGGAAGGUAGCAGCCUGCUGGAGCCCACCCCAAGGAUCCCUGUGCUAUAUGAUACAUGUCCUGGUGAGAGUGUCCUGAGAGCUAAAAAGAUUCCUGUUGCCUGCUUUAUUGCUUUAGGAGUCUGGGACU
Molecule: long non-coding RNA, 512 nt
Filed under: Felis catus (domestic cat)
Lineage: Eukaryota; Metazoa; Chordata; Mammalia; Carnivora; Felidae
Description: lncRNA (ENSFCAG00000048977.1)
Source: RNAcentral